This 370-nucleotide ribosomal RNA is filed under the name uncultured bacterium. RNAcentral's name for it is "bacterial SSU rRNA". It matches the Rfam family "Bacterial small subunit ribosomal RNA", at positions 527 to 896 of the family's 1533-position model. The record is from RNAcentral.
GGAGGGUGCAAGCGUUAAUCGGAAUUACUGGGCGUAAAGCGUGCGUAGGUGGUUGGAUAAGUCAGGUGUGAAAUCCCCGAGCUUAACUUGGGAAUUGCGCUUGAGACUGUCUGACUAGAGUGUGGUAGAGGGUAGUGGAAUUCCGCAUGUAGCGGUGAAAUGCGUAGAUAUGCGGAGGAACAUCAGUGGCGAAGGCGGCUACCUGGACCAACACUGACACUGAGGUACGAAAGCGUGGGGAGCAAACAGGAUUAGAUACCCUGGUAGUCCACGCCCUAAACGAUGGGUACUAGAUGUCGGGAAGUUUAUCUUCUUGGUGUCGCAGCUAACGCAAUAAGUACCCCGCCUGGGGAGUACGGUCGCAAGAUUA